CUUGAAAGAGCAGAAAGAGAAAUAAUUACAAGAAUGGCCUGUAACUCAAAUCCUUGAAGGGAUGAGAGGAAUAUUGUUCUGUAAAUAUGCACUGGCAGCAGCAACUCCACUUCCAUACUUUAUUGGGUAACCCACAUCUUUCAGUAUCAUCUCCACACCAGCAAGACAUCCCAAGAGUUGCAACUGCAAAAAUAUUUAAAGAAUUAACAAUUUCAAUGGUGGAAGCUUUAUAAUUUGAUAUUACAUUAGAAUAAACAUAAUCUAGCAUACUUGAAAGAAGUGGACAUUGAUGCUAUUCUCAUCUUAAGUAUGAAGCACGGACACGAACACAAAUACCAUAUACAGAUAGAGCUACAUACAAAUACGGCAAUGACACAUAGGCACUAGUAAUAAUUUAAGAAAAUAAAAGUGAUUGAAUGUAACCAUAUUGUCAGUGUCGUGUCGGACACUCGACACACUUAAAUUUGAAGUGUUAGUGCCACAUGACAUCAUACUAUUGAAGUAGGACAAAAAUACAUCUUAAAAAAUAGAUGAUAAAGAGUUUUAAAGGAUAAUACAUAGCAACCAUGAGUAGUAAAGAACACAUUUAUGAAUUCUUUAACAUGUUAUCUUAAGAUACAGAUAAAGAAAAACAAUAAUUGGUAUAUUUCCUAUCUAAUAAAUACAUUUUCUUUUGCAAUUGCACGAGUCAAAAAUUAUAAAUAUUUAGUAUUGAUUAUCCAAUGAUCACUUUUCUUUGAUAUAAACCUUGAAUUAAAAUUCAAAUUUCAUUACACUACAGCAAACAUAACCUAGACAUAUCUGAAAGACCCUAAAAGGUAAACCUACUAAAUAAGCUAUGAAACACUAACAUAGACAAUAAACACUGGCAUGAAGAUAAUGAUAAUAAUUUGCACAAAUAGAGGUGAUUGUGUGUAAUUAUAUGUGUUAGGGUCAAACACCGGAUAUAGUUUCAAUAUGAAGUGACAGUGCUAUACAACUAAAUAAUAGUUUGGGAAAUCAACAUUAUACCUCAUUGAGGUUGCCAAGAUGGCCAAUUCUGAAAACCUUGCCAGCAACUUUGUUUAGUCCCAAACCUAAGCUCAAAUUGUAUCUCUUCCAUGCCCUUCUAACAAUUUCAGCACUAUCAAUGUAAGGAGGAACGACAACAGCAGUCACUGUGUCACUGUA
RNAcentral lists this long non-coding RNA (1170 nucleotides) under Cicer arietinum (chickpea). RNAcentral's name for it is "long non-coding RNA (CARI_LNC001372)". Lineage: Eukaryota; Viridiplantae; Streptophyta; Magnoliopsida; Fabales; Fabaceae. The record is from RNAcentral.